Long non-coding RNA from Prinia subflava (tawny-flanked prinia), 2727 nucleotides. RefSeq lists it as uncharacterized. The transcript is spliced from 3 exons. Lineage: Eukaryota; Metazoa; Chordata; Aves; Passeriformes; Cisticolidae. The record is from RefSeq and is a predicted model, not a curated record.
AGGAGUUAAACAAGACUCUCUACGCUCUUGAAGAGACUUAAGUAAAAGGCCAUCAGUCUUCUUAAUUAAGGCUUUUCCUAUAAGCACUGCCUGAAAACACCUUCGUUGCCUUUUCAGGCUCUCACCUGAUUCUAAUUGAGCUCCUUGGAACAUUAACCUGGCUUUUUGCUCAUGAUUCAUCUCAUUAGGAGGAAAAGGUCUCCUCUCUGCUUCCCUCUUUUUCUAUGAACAUGUCCUUUCAAUGUAAAGUACUGAAAGUACAGAACAGAUGCUGAAGGGGCUCUUGAAGGAUGUGCCAGCUCUAAGAUGUAACCCGGGGAGGAUGGAUUGCUGACUGACUUGCACUCGUUUGCACUUGUUUCAAAGGUGACUCCAUCACCAGUGUCUGAAAGACACUCUGCCCCUCAGUAACGAAUGAUUACAGCUAAAUGAAUCCCAGAGGUUUGCCACUGGUGCACAACAAAGGCAUAAGAAUGAGAGCUGUGGUUCAAGAUCUAUUUUUUAUACCAGCAUAAUUUUUUGCUUCAGUGAUCUAUCACUAAACAACAGCUGCUGGGGCAGAGACUCGCUGCACUGCAGGAGCAUUAGCAAAUCCUUUAGUGACUGGGCACAUGUGUUUGCCUCAGGCCCUGGAAAGAGUCACAAACUUGUGAAGGAGGACUGGCAGAUUAAUGUCACCUUCUUCCUGCAAGAGAUUUGAAGAUGUCAGACACGCUGGAACGACAGGCUGCAGCAAGUUUAGAUUUUUAAAGGAUUUAUUUUAUGAUCUGAGCAUAUGUGGCCAAACUCUCUUAAAAGGGGGAGAGAGGGAGGGGAGGAAAAAAAAAAGAGUAAAAUUCAAACAAAUUGGGAUUUUAUAUAUAUACUGGCUCGGAAAUUAAACUUUUGCAAUUUCUUAUAAGAUGUUGUUUUUUUCCCCACUAGAGAUCUAUGUGUUCACUUCCAAAUUCUUGAAAUAGAUUUUCUGCCACUUUUGAAGCAAAAAGUAUCCUAAAAAUGGCUGUGUUUAAAGCAUUCAUAAUUGCAGGGAAAAAAACAGAUUUUUCUUAUAUUAGAUGCUAUUACCAGUCUGUAUAUAAUCAGAUUGAGGUAAAAGAUAUAUGGAUUUACUUGUUUAUCACAGAAACUCAGUAUUCUCUUCAUUAAUAAUCACCUUUUUGAUAAUAAUCAAAUUUCUCUUGGUUAAUAAUCAUCUACCUUGAAAAACUAAAAGAUAAAGGUAAUUAACACAACAUGCUUCUGAAUCAUCCAAAAAGAUAAUUUUAAAACUUCUCUUAAACUUUGUGACCCAACAGUUAAAGCCCUAAACCAAGUAAAUGAAACAUAAACUGUAAUUUGUGUACUUUUCACACUCCUUUUGUCAGCAGAUGAUUGGAAAACUGCACUGUCAACUGCACAGGUUUCAGAUUGGGGAUUUUUGUUUAUGUUUGUUUGAUUUUGAGGGUUUGGUUUUUUUAGGUUCUGUCUCAUAAAUAAAAAGAUCUUGUCUAGAACACAAGAUUGGCUGCUGGAUCAAGUGUUCAGCUUCACUGUGUAGAUAUCUGAAUUACUUAUUCAGUACUAAUUAUACUCUUCCAACUCAGAUUCCAGUAAAAGGCAGUGAAGCACAAUGGCUCCUAAAAUACUCAGAAGCUAUGGUGUGGGAAUCCCUGUAAGGAAAAGGGUCUGUGCAUGCUUUGCCCUCAUUUGAGGAACUGGCAUUUACAGAUAUGUGAUAAUAGGAGUUCAAAAUUAAAAUCUCUUACAUUGGAGCUACCUGACUAAGAAACUGCUUGGUAUAAUUUCCUUGAUUAUUUUAGAUGUCAGGAAUUCUUUUAUGUUAACUUUUUAGUCAGAAAUAAACUUGAUGCCUGUUCGAAAUGCAGAAAAUUUGUGAUCCAAGUACUUUUUUUUGGAAGUUUUCUUUCACAGCAUUUGUCCAAGAAAUUACUAUACUCAUCAGACUCGUGGAUCAGUUUUAAGAAUCUGAAAAAUCCACCUGCAGAUGACAACAGCUGCUUGUUUCAUGAUGAAGAACUUCAAUGAAACACACCAGGACAUUAAAAGGACCAAGGGGGCAGCACACGGAUCUGACAGUGCCGUACAUUUCCUGACUCCUCCUCUUGGAUGAAUACAAAUGGGUUUGGAACCACAUGAAAACCUGAGAGAUGAAGUGAUGAAUGAGUGAUGGAGACCCUUCCCUGCGGAGGAAGGAUCACUUUGGCAGCCUGGGCACUUGCAUUUCCCCAGGUCCUGCCAGCUGCGUGUUGUGCUGCUCACGGUGACACCGUGCACAGAUGUGCAGCUCUGAACUGAGCAGUGAACAAAGGACUGCGAGGUUCAGCUUGAAAGCUGGGAAUAUUUUGAUGUUCCAGCUCACCUUGUCACAUGAGGCAUCCCCAAAGUUUUCAGCCGUGCUUGACACAUCAUAAAAAAUGUAUCUGGAAAAAUCAAAUUUUAGUUUUGUUGCUGCUCUGAUGCAUGAAAGCUUAUUCCAGCCAAAAAGAGCUGUAUGUCUGCAAUAGUGGCACUCCAAAAACGAUUUCUGGGAUACAGAGAGCUAUGAGAUAAGGAGAUUGUGUGGAUGCAAUGUAUGAAUUAUUUCUUUCUCUUUCACUUAUGAAGUCCCAAGGCAGAGGUUUUUAAGACUUGGUUUGUAACUGAACUUCCUUUCUCAAAUACAGCAUUUAGAUACAUUUGUUCAGCUCACGCUCAAUAAAUGCAUAUAAUUGGUAUUUACAAACUUCU